GGGUGACGGCGUACCUUUUGUAUAAUGGGUCAGCGACUUACAUUCAGUGGCAAGCUUAACCGAUUAGGGCAGGCGUAGCGAAAGCGAGUCCGAACAGGGCGUUGAGUCGCUGGGUGUAGACCCGAAACCAGAUGAUCUAUCCAUGGCCAGGUUGAAGGUGCGGUAACACGUACUGGAGGACCGAACCCACUAACGUUGAAAAGUUAGGGGAUGAGCUGUGGAUAGGGGUGAAAGGCUAAACAAAUCUGGAAAUAGCUGGUUCUCUCCGAAAACUAUUUAGGUAGUGCCUCGUGUCUCACCUUCGGGGGUAGAGCACUGUCAUGGUUGGGGGGUCUAUUGCUGAUUACCCCGCCAUAGCAAACUCCGAAUACCGAAGAGUGCAAUCACGGGAGACAGACAUCGGGUGCUAACGUCCGGUGUCAAGAGGGAAACAACCCAGACCGCCAGCUAAGGUCCCCAAAUAUAGCUAAGUGGGAAACGAAGUGGGAAGGCUAAAACAGUCAGGAGGUUGGCUUAGAAGCAGCCACCCUUUAAAGAAAGCGUAAUAGCUCACUGAUCGAGUCGUCCUGCGCGGAAGAUGUAACGGGGCUAAGCUAUAUACCGAAGCUGCGGACGC
RNAcentral lists this ribosomal RNA (616 nucleotides) under Cupriavidus sp. L7L. Its description in RNAcentral is "partial 23S ribosomal RNA". It matches the Rfam family "Bacterial large subunit ribosomal RNA", at positions 591 to 1209 of the family's 2925-position model. Lineage: Bacteria; Pseudomonadati; Pseudomonadota; Betaproteobacteria; Burkholderiales; Burkholderiaceae. The record is from RNAcentral.